AUACGGAGGGUGCAAGCGUUGUUCGGAAUCACUGGGCGUAAAGGGCGCGCAGGCGGUUUGGUAAGUCAGAUGUGAAAGCCCACGGCUCAACCGUGGAAGUGCAUUUGAAACUGUCAGACUUGAGUACUAGAGGGGAAAGUGGAAUUCCCGGUGUAGAGGUGAAAUUCGUAGAUAUCGGGAGGAAUACCGGUGGCGAAGGCGACUUUCUGGCUAGAUACUGACGCUGAGGCGCGAAAGCGUGGGGAGCAAACGGGAUUAGAAACCCUAGUAGUCC
RNAcentral lists this ribosomal RNA (274 nucleotides) under uncultured bacterium. RNAcentral describes it as "partial 16S ribosomal RNA". It matches the Rfam family "Bacterial small subunit ribosomal RNA", at positions 523 to 796 of the family's 1533-position model. The record is from RNAcentral.